This 205-nucleotide ribosomal RNA is filed under the name uncultured Chromatiales bacterium. RNAcentral's name for it is "partial 16S ribosomal RNA". It matches the Rfam family "Bacterial small subunit ribosomal RNA", at positions 35 to 238 of the family's 1533-position model. Lineage: Bacteria; Pseudomonadati; Pseudomonadota; Gammaproteobacteria; Chromatiales. The record is from RNAcentral.
GCUGGCGGCAUGCUUAACACAUGCAAGUCGAACGGUAACAGGCAGAGCUUGCUCUGCGCUGACGAGUGGCGGACGGGUGAGUAACGCGUAGGAAUCUGCCUAGUAGUGGGGGACAACCCGGAGAAAUCCGGGCUAAUACCGCAUACGCCCUACGGGGGAAAGCGGGGGACCUUCGGGCCUCGCGCUAUUAGAUGAGCCUGCGUCG